AGAGUUUGAUCAUGGCUCAGAUUGAACGCUGGCGGAAUGCUUUACACAUGCAAGUCGAACGGCAGCAUAGGUGCUUGCACCUGAUGGCGAGUGGCGAACGGGUGAGUAAUACAUCGGAACGUGCCCAGUCGUGGGGGAUAACGUAGCGAAAGUUACGCUAAUACCGCAUACGAUCUACGGAUGAAAGCGGGGGACCGUAAGGCCUCGCGCGAUUGGAGCGGCCGAUGUUAGAUUAGGUAGUUGGUGGGGUAAAGGCUCACCAAGCCGACGAUCUGUAGCUGGUCUGAGAGGACGACCAGCCACACUGGAACUGAGACACGGUCCAGACUCCUACGGGAGGCAGCAGUGGGGAAUUUUGGACAAUGGACGCAAGUCUGAUCCAGCCAUUCCGCGUGCAGGACGAAGGCCUUCGGGUUGUAAACUGCUUUUGUACAGAACGAAAAGGUUUCUAUUAAUACUAGGAGCUCAUGACGGUACUGUAAGAAUAAGCACCGGCUAACUACGAGCCAGCAGCCGCGGUAAU
RNAcentral lists this ribosomal RNA (523 nucleotides) under uncultured bacterium. RNAcentral's name for it is "bacterial SSU rRNA". It matches the Rfam family "Bacterial small subunit ribosomal RNA", at positions 8 to 524 of the family's 1533-position model. The record is from RNAcentral.